AAGUCUGGUGCCAGCAGCCGCGGUAAUUCCAGCUCCAAUAGCGUAUAUUAAAGUUGUUGCAGUUAAAAAGCUCGUAGUUGAAUUUCGGGGUUAGUAGGUUGGUCAUGCCUCUGGUAUGUACUGGUCUCACUGAUUCCUCCUUCCUUAUGAGCCGUAAUGCCAUUAAUUUGGUGUUGCGGGGAAUUUGGACUGUUACUUUGAAAAAAUUAGAGUGUUUAAAGCAAGCUAACGCUUGAAUACAUUAGCAUGGAAUAAUGAAAUAGGACGUUCGAUCUUAUUUUGUUGGUUUCUAGGAUUGACGUAAUGAUUAAUAGGGAUAGUUGGGGGCAUUAGUAUUCAAUUGUCAGAGGUGAAAUUCUUGGAUUUAUUGAAGACUAACUACUGCGAAAGCAUUUGCCAAGGAUGUUUUCAUUAAUCAAGAACGAAAGUUAGGGGAUCGAAGACGAUCAGAUACCGUCGUAGUCUUAACCAUAAACUAUGCCGACUAGGGAUCGGAUGAUGUUAAUUUUUUAAUGACUCAUUCGGCGCCUUACGGGAAACCAAAGUGUUUGGGU
RNAcentral lists this ribosomal RNA (554 nucleotides) under Rhizophagus irregularis. Its description in RNAcentral is "SSU rRNA". It matches the Rfam family "Eukaryotic small subunit ribosomal RNA", at positions 557 to 1112 of the family's 1831-position model. Lineage: Eukaryota; Fungi; Glomeromycota; Glomeromycetes; Glomerales; Glomeraceae. The record is from RNAcentral.